RNAcentral lists this ribosomal RNA (425 nucleotides) under uncultured bacterium. RNAcentral describes it as "partial 16S ribosomal RNA". It matches the Rfam family "Bacterial small subunit ribosomal RNA", at positions 354 to 796 of the family's 1533-position model. The record is from RNAcentral.
GUGGGGAAUCUUAGACAAUGGGGGAAACCCUGAUCUAGCCAUGCCACGUGAGCGAUGAAGGCCUUAGGGUUGUAAAGCUCUUUCAGCUGGGAAGAUAAUGACGGUACCAGCAGAAGAAGCCCCGGCUAACUCCGUGCCAGCAGCCGCGGUAAUACGGAGGGGGCUAGCGUUGUUCGGAAUUACUGGGCGUAAAGCGCGCGUAGGCGGACCAGAAAGUUGGAGGUGAAAUCCCAGGGCUCAACCUUGGAACUGCCUUCAAAACUCCUGGUCUGGAGUUCGAGAGAGGUGAGUGGAAUUCCGAGUGUAGAGGUGAAAUUCGUAGAUAUUCGGAGGAACACCAGUGGCGAAGGCGGCUCACUGGCUCGAUACUGACGCUGAGGUGCGAAAGCGUGGGGAGCAAACAGGAUUAGAAACCCCAGUAGUCC